This is a long non-coding RNA of Phacochoerus africanus (Common warthog), 2249 nucleotides long. RefSeq lists it as uncharacterized. The transcript has 10 exons. NCBI's taxonomy places the organism in Eukaryota, Metazoa, Chordata, Mammalia, Artiodactyla, Suidae. The record is from RefSeq and is a predicted model, not a curated record.
AGGGGCAACAAGCAUCUCUCUACCACCCUCUCCUGCGCCCCAAAGAACGGCUGCUAUUAUGAGGCUGGCCCCAAAAAGGACUGUCAUAUGAACCUGAGGGGGUCACAGAAACCAAACAAAGGACUCUACUGUUUAGCCAAAGGAUACCACAAGAGGUGCAAGACUCAAUGAACAGGGCCAGAGACCAGCUGUGCAUGGCCAGCCUCUGCUUUAGGCCCAAGAAGGAAAGAAAUUCACAGGAGAUAGUCAAUCUCAGACUCUUCCUCAGUUACCAGCAGGAGGAUUCUAGAGGGUCACAGGCCAUAUUGGAGUAGGACAUCCACACGUCCUGACCUCAUUUACCUUGAAUUACCUGCUUAAAAGCCACAUCUCCAAAUAUAGUCACUCUGGGGGUUAAGGCUUCAGCACAUGCAUUUUGAAGGGGUUCCUGGGAGCUUUUCUGGUGCUGGCAUUGACUGGUUCCACCAGUCAGUGAGGAAGGGAUCCUACCUACCUCAGCACCCGGACCAACUUCAUUGAAGAGACAGAUCAAGUGGCGAUGGAGUCUGGCUUCCUCAUGCACAGACAAGUAUGGAGCUUAUUUUGGAACUGAUUCCCUUCCAACAUAGAUUAUCACAGAAUAUUGGGUAGAGUUCUCUGUGCUAUCUUUUCCAGCAGCAGGAAAGUUGGGCUCACCCACCUGAAAAGCUAAAGCUGACCCAGAAGUUAUGCUUAAAGAAGAAAAAGAAGGAAGAGCUGCUUUUGAUGUAACUUGAAGAGUAUAAAGGAUCGAAUGAUAAAAGCCACUGCCCUGAACUUUUCCAAAGUGUAAUAAAUCUCUCUGCAUAAGAUUCUGCAGUUGUUGCCAAGAUCCCGAAUUGGGAGCCAUGUGGAAAGAGGACUGGAUUGGAAAUCAGAGUCCUUCCUGGGUUUCUUCCAGAUGACCCCACCCAUCAGCCAUCUGGUCUCUGAGAAAUAGAACAGAGAUUCCACAUGUUUCCUGGAAUUGACCAAAAAAAAAAAAAAAAAAGGAAAGAAAAAAAUUUCAGUUAAAUGCCCUCAAUGCCCAUCAUAAGAAGGGGUCACCCUAAAAGAAUAAUUGAUUUGCAGUUCUGGUGUGGUAGGGACAUCUUGUCUCUUCUCUACUUGGCAUGAGGUGGAAUACUGGAAGGCUGAAAAGUGGAAUUGUCUGAAGUGCACUCACUCAUACCUCUGGUGGUUGACUGUUGGCUGGGAUGAACAUGGAGCUGUGUCUGGAACACCUAUAUGUGGCCAUUUCAUGAAGCUGCCCCACAAUAUGGUGGCUGGGUUCCAAAGCCUCCCAGCACUCCUUGAGAGAAGCAACCUGAUCAAUCUCAUUCAACUAGUCUCCUCAGUGUCUGGAACUACCAAAAAAAAAAAAAAAGGCACUCAAUGCCUAUACAUUGAAUGAAUGGGUUAACAGAUGGGUGGAAGACACCUUAGAAUCCAUCUAGUCCAACUUCUUCAUUUUUAGAGGUGAGAAAACCAUAGAUUAUAUCAGCUUGCCAAAGAUGAUAUAGUUAUAAGGCUAUUUGGCCUGUUGUUUUCAAUUUGUUCAUUGUUAUUGUGACCUCAACUACCUCCCAAAGCAACUGUCUAAUUAUACUCUUGGGUCCAGCAAUUUCAUCAGUUCAUGUUCUCACCCUAGGGUCCUGCCUUGUCAGUACUGUCCACCCAAGGGUGCUAUGGAGAGAAGCCAACUAUAUACAUUUUUUUUGUGUCAAUUACCAUUCACACUGGUCAUAUUUUUCCUAGGACAGUUAUAAGCUUUGUUUAUAAACUUAGAGAACUAACUUUUUAGCUCCUCUCCUGGUGACCCACUAUAAACUCACUUUUUACCAAAUCAGGUACUUGAUAGUGUUUAUGUAUAAUGUUAUGUAUGUAUAAAUCUACUUUGUUAUGCUAGUGACCCAGGUCACAUGGUAGUUAUGGGUUUUGUAGAAAGAGCUUUGCCUUGAGAAGUCUGCUUUUCAUCCAUUUCUGUUACUCAUAAGCUGUCCGAUCUAAGGCAAGUCCUUAAUAGUCUAAGCUUCAAUUUUGUAGUCUGUUCACUUUGCCAUGAGCAGGAAAAACAACAGCAGCAAAAGCCAAAAAUAAAACAACUUAAUCUCUUUUCUCUCUCUUCCCUUCCUUACUUGGAAUAAUAAAUAUGAAAAUUCACUUCACAGGAAUUAAAUAAACUCAUUAAUGAUACAGUUAGUUGGAUUAAAUGGACUCAUGAAUGUGAAGAUUCUGUUAAGUCCAAGAUG